UGGCAGCUCUCGGCUUUGCAGAAAA
This 25-nucleotide unclassified non-coding RNA is filed under the name Mus musculus (house mouse). RNAcentral describes it as "oocyte_clustered_small_RNA2741". The record is from RNAcentral. Lineage: Eukaryota; Metazoa; Chordata; Mammalia; Rodentia; Muridae.